CAAAGGUGAGCCAGUACAGGAUGGACCCGCGUCUGAUUAGCUAGUUGGUAAGGUAACGGCUUACCAAGGCGACGAUCAGUAGCCGACCUGAGAGGGUGAUCGGCCACAUUGGAACUGAGACACGGUCCAAACUCCUACGGGAGGCAGCAGUGGGGAAUAUUGCACAAUGGGCGAAAGCCUGAUGCAGCAACGCCGCGUGAGUGAUGAAGGCCUUCGGGUCGUAAAACUCUGUCCUCAAGGAAGAUAAUGACGGUACUUGAGGAGGAAGCCCCGGCUAACUACGUGCCAGCAGCCGCGGUAAUACGUAGGGGGCUAGCGUUAUCCGGAUUUACUGGGCGUAAAGGGUGCGUAGGCGGUCUUUCAAGUCAGGAGUGAAAGGCUACGGCUCAACCGUAGUAAGCUCUUGAAACUGGGAGACUUGAGUGCAGGAGAGGAGAGUGGAAUUCCUAGUGUAGCGGUGAAAUGCGUAGAUAUUAGGAGGAACACCAGUUGCGAAGGCGGCUCUCUGGACUGUAACUGACGCUGAGGCACGAAAGCGUGGGGAGCAAACAGGAUUAGAUACCCUGGUAGUCCACGCUGUAAACGAUGAGUACUAGGUGUCGGG
This 604-nucleotide ribosomal RNA is filed under the name uncultured bacterium. RNAcentral's name for it is "bacterial SSU rRNA". It matches the Rfam family "Bacterial small subunit ribosomal RNA", at positions 202 to 827 of the family's 1533-position model. The record is from RNAcentral.